UACGUAGGGUGCGAGCGUUGUCCGGAAUUAUUGGGCGUAAAGAGCUCGUAGGCGGCCUGUCGCGUCGGAUGUGAAAACUCGGGGCUUAACCCCGAGCCUGCAUUCGAUACGGGCAGGCUAGAGUUCGGCAGGGGAGACUGGAAUUCCUGGUGUAGCGGUGAAAUGCGCAGAUAUCAGGAGGAACGCCGGUGGCGAAGGCGGGUCUCUGGGCCGAUACUGACACUGAGGAGCGAAAGCCAGGGGAGCAAACGGG
RNAcentral lists this ribosomal RNA (253 nucleotides) under uncultured bacterium. Its description in RNAcentral is "partial 16S ribosomal RNA". It matches the Rfam family "Bacterial small subunit ribosomal RNA", at positions 524 to 776 of the family's 1533-position model. The record is from RNAcentral.